UCGCUCGGAAAGAGGACCAAAAUGGAGGAGUAAGAAUCAUGAUUAAAUUGAGCGAGCGCAACUAAUCACGCGAAGAGGGCCGCAGGCGGGCCGUCUUCCGCAAGCGUGCUUCCAGGCCUCCACUCCCCACCUAUUCGGCGGCACCCUGUUACUUCUGCUCCUGCGCGCUGCUUCCCGCGACCUCACAGGCAGAGCGAACACGCACGGAGUCGCAGGGGCGCGCAAAGGGGGAGGAGCGGGCGUGACCAGGCGCGCGCGCGCGUCUGGAGUGACUCUAGAGAGCAGGAGCAGAUCCGGGGUAGAGGGAAAAGAGCUCCGGGCCAGGGGCUGCCGUCGCCGCCGUCGGGGAGUCAGCCCGCCAGCCCGCCAGCUCGUCAGCCCGCCAGCCAGCGCUUCGCGGGCCCUGUCGGUCCCGGUAAGCGGGCCUGCGCUUACCGGAAAGAGGAGCGUAAGAUGAAAGAGUUUCUUGCGGCCCCAUAACUUUUUCUUGGUGUUCUAUGGCUUUAUGAAUGGAGGAGCCAACUCACAGACCUGGGCCAUUCGGGUGGUU
Molecule: long non-coding RNA, 550 nt
Filed under: Homo sapiens (human)
Lineage: Eukaryota; Metazoa; Chordata; Mammalia; Primates; Hominidae
Description: non-protein coding lnc-CNOT8-2:3
Source: RNAcentral